CCCCGGGGCGUCGCGUGCAGGGUGGUGUGGUGUGAAUUGUUUGCGUUGCGCGACACUGUGGCUGUUGUUGUUGCGCUGAUCAGCUGAACGCAUGAUUGCGCUUCUAGUUUGACAAGCAGGAGGGGAAGCCCUGUUGGCUCGCGAGCGUCCAAAUAACACCGAGAGAGGCGUCAGCAGCGAUUCCGUUUGACAAGCGAUGGGAUGCGGACCACGGCACGCUGCCCUGGAGAGUAAAUGGCCACAGCAACGCCAACAGCUGUGUCAGGGCUAGUGAAGUUCUUACAUGCUACAAGCUGAAGAUGGGAGACAAAUAGGUCUUAAAGAAUUAUUCAAUGUCAGCAGAGAAAGUGCCUCAAAAGCAUCUUGAGACAUUCUUUGCCAAGCCCCAUUGCCAGGCAUCAGCCCAAAAGACACAAAAAGAUGAAUUUCACCAAGGCUGUUUGUGAACAGGAGAGGCGACAUUUAAAACAAAACCAGCACUCACAUAUAAGGCGGCUGCAUACUGACAUGGUUUAAUUAUGCCUUUCUCAGUUAAGACACCAUCCGGUAUCUUAUAUUAAUUAUGGCAUAAUACAAUUAGCCCCCUAAAGCAAGUAUAAAGUCUUUUUCCCUAUCGGAAGAGUAUUGAUGCAAUGAUGUUUAUCGGAUUGAUCCUCAAAGCAGCACUCCCAUUGCAUCUUUGAGGCCUCCUCCCCACAUCCUAUGGAGGCGGAGGAAAAGCAGUCGGCCGAUGGAGUGCGGUCUGGUGGGCAACAGCAGCCAUCAGAGUCUUUGUUAGCAGCGCAGCUGCCUCAGUUACAGCAACAAACUACCUCACAAUCUGUCCAUGGAUCACGUGGCCGCCCUCAACACAGGCAGCCAAAACGCUUUGAAAUGCUUCAAAGGCAGAAGCAGCAGCAACAGUCACAGGCGGGUGGAUCAUCUUGGCAGCUUUCAGAAGUACCUGGUCCUUCAAGAGGCAGCUGUUCUGCCCUGGGAGAUCCAUCUCCCCAAAUUCAAAGUGUUAAGCAAACUCAGUCUCUGCACAGUGUGGAAUUACAGGAAGGCACCCCAUGUAGACGAGAACGUAAACCCCAAAAACCAGGGAAAUAUGUGUGCACAUACUGCGGCCGUCCUUGUGCUAAGCCUAGCGUCCUCCAAAAACACAUCCGAUCUCACACUGGAGAGAGACCUUAUCCAUGUGUUCCAUGUGGCUUUUCCUUCAAGACCAAAAGCAACUUGUACAAACACCGCAAAUCCCAUGCGCAUCGAAUAAAAGCUGGCAUGGCCUCAAGUCGUGAAGAAACCAGUUUCAUUGGGCCGGAAGGUGGAGCCUUAAGAGAUGAGCAAGAGGAGGGUACAGAAGGAGAGAGUUCAGGUUCUGAGGAUGAGACGGGGCAACACCAACCAUCUACCUCACAGGGCAGGCCAACUCUGAAGAAAAGCAGUAAAGUGGAAUUGUCAUUUAUAGAGGAGGGUCCCCAAACUGAGGAUUCACAGGCAAUCAAGCAAAGGUUAGCUAUGAGGCUAAGCGAGAGGAAGCGAGCUCCCAGAGCAUCUUCAGAUGAAACGCGAUCCUCACUGGGUCCCGGCAGCAAGGGGAGCACAGAAUCUGGCUAUUUUUCCAGUUCUGGGAGUGCUGAGCUUUCUCAAGUGAGCCCACCAAAUGCCAGUGCUAAAACAUAUGCUGAGAUAAUUCUAGGAAAGUAUGGACGCUUAGGACAACAGCAACGAAUUUCACAUCAACAACUGCAAUUAUCAUCAUCUUCAGGUCAACAGGAAAAAUCAAUCCCUUUCACUGUUCCUAAGACACAAGUCAUUGAGCAUAUAACUAAGCUAAUUACUAUAAAUGAAGCCGUGGUGGAUACAAGUGAAAUUGAUAGUGUCAAACCAAGGCGUUCUUCACUCUCUAGAAGAAGUAGCAUAGAGUCUGUAAGAUUCUCUUCACCCAAAGAACCCUGUGUUCUUGAACCAAAAGCGGAUGCCCCAAGCUCUUGUGGCGCUGCUGUUCAACUUAUUCCUGGUACUUUUGCAAGUGAAUUACCUGGCUCAUACUUGGCUGAAACAGAAACACUGACUGGUCAGAGCUCCAGUGCUCUUCUUUAUAGGAGUCAAUCAGUGCCAUCUUCUCGUAAUACUUCAGAUACAGCUUCACGCGGCUUUCGUUUAAGUCAUUCUUUUGAUGAUCAGCAGGCCAUAGCAGCUGAAAUGAGGAUUGGGCCACAUCAACGUAUGUUACGACGCCAACCAGCUAUUGAGGUGCCAGUUGGAGUGGACCUCAUUAAUGAGGAUGCAGGUCCUUCUUCUAGUUUGAAAGAAGUAGAAUCGGGAAAGAAACAAAAUAAGGAAUUACACCUUUAUGAGUGUGAAAUUUGUGGCACUCACUUGAAUAAGAACUCUUACACCGCACACAGAUUAGUGUGUACGAGUAAAUCUCCACACUGUCUGCAAAGUGAGGAAGGCAGUUAUUUUAUUGAGAAUCAGCCACAGAUUAUGAGCUACAAGUUCAAAGCAAUGGCCAUGGCUGUGCGCAAAAGGAAAAAAAAAGAAGAAAGUCUUGAGGAAGACCCUCCCAGUCCAGGUCCAACAGCAGUGUCUUUCAGCUCCCAGCCUCCAUCAAUGCUAGGCAGUAUUGAUAAUCAGGGCACACCUCAUGGCCUUUCACAGAGCGAGGUAGAAAAAAGGAGUUCCUGGAAAGAAAUUUCUGUUAUCCAGCACACCAGAUCCUUUGAAAAACAGGAAAGCAUCUCUAUGGCAAAUCAGGAAGCAGAGUCAGAACACGAGCAAUCACAGGAGCCAAAACCAAUCUCUACAUCGCGGUUAAUUCGUCAACAUAACAUUCAAGUGCCAGAAAUUCUUGUUACAGAGGAGCCAGAUACCGAGAUGGUCAUUCAUCCAGCGUGCACGUACACCUCUAAAGAGUCAGAAAAAGUGGAGGAAUUCCAGUGGCCUCAGCGUAGCCAAAGUAUGGCUCAGCUCCCUGCAGAGAAGCUACCACCAAAAAAGAAGCGUCUCCGUUUAGCUGAGGCAGCCCAAUCAUCAGGAGAAUCUAGCUUUGAGUCAGUAUCCUUGCCACACAGCCCAAGCCAAGAGAGCAAUGUUUCCCAUGCCUCCAGUCGAUCUGCAUCCUUUGAGGAAUCUGGAAGGCCAGACACAGAGAUGCAAAGUGGUACCUGGAUCUCCCAAGGCUCUCACAUGCUGACUGUUCCAUCAAGUCUUCAUCAGCACCAUCAUUCUCACAGAGAGAUGCGCCGCUCAACCUCUGAACAGGCAACUGCAAGUCCUUCACACCCUGCACAUGUAGAGGAAACAAGAAGUAAGUCAUUUGACUAUGGCUCCCUCUCUCAAGAGCGCACUUUUGCUUCUUGGAAGGAGAGGAGGAAAUGUCUCUUGGUGAAGCACGGAACCCUUGGUGAACCUGAUCAGGAGGAGCCAUGUACUAAACCUGGCAUCUCCACUGUUUGCCAGUCCUACUUAGGUCAUCCUCCAUUCAAAUACACAGAGCAUAGAAUGGAAGGCAGGAUCCCUAGGAUUAGCUCAGAUCAUAUAGGGAAGACCCUGCAGCUCAUCCAAUCCCCUCUUUCACUCCCACCAUCAGUUUUCCCCCUACAACAAGCAAACCCAGAUUUUUGUUCCCCAAGUCAGCUCUCUAGAUUCCUUCCAGUCACAACAGCAGUAAUUUCUACCCAGAUGUUUCAGCAAGCCUUCCUUCACAGUGAGCCACCUCCACCACAUCCAAGACCCAUAGAAUAUGUAGAGCGCCUGGGAUUACCCCUUCAACCACUCACUACUUUAUUCCCGCUACAAUCCAGUGAUGUUGCUCAGGCUGUUUGCUUUCCCAUGCCAGGUGGUCUGACUAUUCAGGUUCCCUCGGGGCCGCUUUUCAGUGAGUCUAGGUCAUCACCUUCCUCCUUGCAUACUCCCAGUCAUUCACAACAGCAGCUAGUCACCCGCCACAACCCCCGUCCUGUGAUUGCCCCUUGCCUUCAACAGCUAAUGCCAAUGGUGUCUCUUGUAGUGCCUGUGCGCUUACAGACUCACAUUCCUACCUAUGCUAGUGCCAUGUAUACAACCAUCUCACAAAUUUUAGCCACAACGCAACAUCCAGUCUGCUGCACAGCUAUGGUAAUCAUGGGUAAGCUGGAGGGAGACAAGCUUCAGAGAUCUUACCUUAGGCUGCCCUCGCCUAGCCCCAAGAGCUAUAUUCCCUUGCCUCUCCCUAUUGAGCAUGGAGCAGUUGCUUCAUCUGAUGAUAGCUGUGGACACCUUGGUGCUGGAGGAAGUAAGCGAAUGCUGUCACCUGCAGGUAGUCUAGAACUCAGUUUAGAGGCACAACGGCAUCAAAAACGGGUGAAAGAGGAGGAGGAGAAAGAAGAGUGCAACAAGGAAGAUGACGUUAACAAAUGUGACAAUAAAUCUCAGGAGGUAGGUCAGGGAAAAAUUAACAAGAGGCUAACAGUGGAGACAGCGGGGAGGGCCAAAGAUCCAAGAGAAGUACCUGAAAGAGAAAAGUUAAUCAAACAGGACUUAACCCAACACAAAUCUGAGACCUUGAAGGAAGAGGGAAGGAAAGAGGCAGGAGAUCGGUAUGCUCCAAGGGUAACAAGUCCAGAGAGAACCAUGGACCCCUCAUACCCCAGUCUGCAUACCACUACAUCCGUCAGCUGGUGCUACUUGAAUUAUACAAAGCCCAACCCCUCUACACACAGAGAUUCAACUUCUGUCUAUUCCUCGUGGAGUGUUAGCAUGCAUAACCCCAAUAUACCUGGCUUGUCCACCAAAAUAUUACUGUCCCUGCUGCACUCCAAACAGAAAUAUAGUGCUGAGACAUACACUUUGGCUACAGCUCCACCGUCAACCACUGACAAGCUGGUUCCUACUGACGGCAAGACAACUAGUGCAUCAGAGGUAUGUGCUUCUCCACCCAACACACCCAUCAAAGUAAAAGAGGAACCAACAAAUGAACAGGGCGAUAAAGAGAAGAAGAGUGCUGAUGACAUGCCCACUACUUCGACUCAAAGUGAGACGGCACGUAUUCGCAUUUUUGAAGGCGGGUAUAAGUCAAAUGAGGACUAUGUGUAUGUUCGGGGUCGAGGGAGAGGAAAGUAUGUGUGUGGAGAAUGUGGGAUUCGCUGCAAGAAGCCCAGCAUGCUAAAAAAGCACAUUCGCACUCAUACAGACGUCCGUCCUUAUGUCUGUAAGCACUGCAACUUCGCCUUUAAAACCAAAGAAUACCCUUUCCUAAAAGGGAACCUUACCAAACACAUGAAGUCCAAGGCCCACGGCAAGAAAUGCCUGGAGAUGGGUGUGUCAGAGUCAUCUGUGGAUGAGCUGGAGUCUGAGGAAGCAGGGGGCAGUGAGGAGCGAGUGUGUGAGUCAGAAGAACAGGAGGAGCACCAGUUUUCUGAUGUUGAAGAUUCUGAAGCAGAAGAUGAUGAGGAUGAGGAAGAAGACUUCUCUUCCCACGAUGAACCAUCUUCAGCCUGUUCCACUGAUACUCGUCAAUCCACAGGUGACCUUUCUGAAAGUGGCCAAGGCCCACAGACCGAGCCCUCUGACCCUGCAGCCAAAGAGGAACACUCCUCACCCCACAGACCAUGGCCUGGCAUACGAGCCUCGUCUCCAGGCAGCAAGAGGGCGUUGUUCUCCCGCAAGGGCUGGGAGGUUUCCCCGAGGACCUUCUCCCCUAGCAGUGAAGGCUCUCCCCUUAGAAGCCUGUCUCCAAGGCUUGAACUGUCCUCACCCAGCCGUCAUCUCUCUCCUUCCCCAGAGAGGGGUCCGUCACCCAUCAGAGCCCUCUCCCCUCUCUCACCUCUCUCACCUCUGAGGCCUGUAUCCCCGGCACGGUACAGGAGAGCAAGAGCCAUCUCCUCUCAUACGCCCCUAAAGCCCCAGCAUCGGCCGCACAGCUCACCCGCAGGGCUCCACUGGGAGCCUAGCACACCAGCUACUGAGCGUCAAAAGGACAAGCCUGGUACUCAGCCAACUCUACAGGAGCAUAUGCCCCUGGAUCCCUGCCUGCUUUCCCCAUCCCUACGCUUCUCUCCAAGUGAGUCUUUCCCUCCGAGUCCAGGGAUGCUACGAACAGUGGACCGCAUGUUUAGCCACCUUCCUUUACACUCCCAAGAUCAAGUCCGCAUGCCCUAUCACAUGAUACCCAUUGGGGGCAUCCAAAUGGUGCAGCUCAGACCCCGAGCACGCCCCAAACUGGAACGACAGUCAUCCUCCACCCCUUCGCCCACCUCUCCCAAAGAGGACUCCCCUUUUUCCCUCACCAGGAGGGAUUAUCCAUGGAUCUCGUUUCCGGAAACCAGUCCGCAAAGGACUCUGGCGAACACCAGGACAAAAAGCCAAGAUGACGGAGCCAGCCGGUCUGACCUGUCUUGUCCCAGUACAAGCUCGACGUUACCCAAACUUCUCCCUUCACAACACGGUGGAGGGGAGCAAUGGACUGCAAAGGUCAGAAAGCAAUAUGGCGACUCGAGCUCCGCCACAAAGACUUGCACCUCCGGUCCCGAAACAUCCAGGAAAGCGGCGGCAGACAGCGAUGAAGGAGUUGAGAGGAUCUCACGGGGGGAAGUAGCGAGUUCCUCUUGUGAAACGGAAAAGCCUGUAGCGGCGCCACUCAGGGGACGUGGCUCUUUUUCAGAAGGAUGUUCAGGAUCUGGCAGUGCUCCUCAGAGCCAGGACGGUGAUCCAGAUAGCACUUAAAAGCCUCUGUGCACAGUGGUGAAAUGCUUUCUACUGCUAAUACUACUAUUGUUUUUUUUUGUUUUUUUUGUAAUGCGCUUAUUUUUAUAUAUACAACAUUUUCAAUACUAUUGGUAACUUGGUAAAUGUAAAUGUUUGUUCUGCAAUAUUCAAGAUUGUAAUAUGAUGCACUUUUUUUUUCUUGGAAAAAAUAUUUCUGUAAAUGGAUUUCGUCUGUCCCUUCUGUAUCUUUAUUGACAUUGCAAUCUUAAUAUAUCUAUUUCAAUAUGUAUAUGUUAAAAAAAAGAGAGAGAGAGAGAGAAAAAACUUGUACUUGCAAAAUAUUACAAAUUGGUAUGAUUACAUUUCUAAAUGACCAAGAUGAAAACUUAAAUCAAGAGUAAUUCCAAUAUUUCGUCUCUUGUCCAGUAUUGCGCAAAUUCUAGUGAUGUGUGCCUUUUUCUGUCCAGAUAUACUGCUUGAAGUGUCAAAGAUAAAAAGCUCUUUCUUUUUGUGAAUAUAGAUUUUUUUUUUUGUGUGUGUUUUUAAUAUGAGCUGGUAUUUGAAGAAGCAAAAGGAUUUUCUUUAUACAAUAGGGUAAACGAGAGAGACGUUGCUGUUAUAUAGACAAGAAACAAAGGUUUCGGCGGCAAGCCUUGCAGGGAAAUUGCACUGACGUCAUAUUUUUUAUAAUACAAGUGAUUAAAUGAUUAGAUAAAUUGUCUCUGUACAGAUAGAAAGUCUAUGGUCCAUAUUUAUUGCCAUGUGAAAAUAUGAAAAUGCCUAUGUUUUGUUUACUUUGGUUUUCAAAGGGAUUUCUAUUGUCAUUUUUAUUAUUAUUUACACUUUUUGUUAAUAGUUUUUUUUUUUUAGUUAUGACCUCAAGACUUGAAAUGAAGAAACUGGACAGGCUUUUCAGUGAAGUCGGUCAAUAGCCGAAGUUCUGAGUGGAUCAGGUGCCCUCCAAAUUUGUCAGACAUUUUACAUUUCUGAACCAAUAAAGGGACCUGAGCAGGUGGACU
RNA transcript from Carassius gibelio (silver crucian carp), 7691 nucleotides. It is a transcript of the gene named transcription factor HIVEP3, with no coding region annotated. The transcript is spliced from 8 exons. The record is from RefSeq and is a predicted model, not a curated record. Lineage: Eukaryota; Metazoa; Chordata; Actinopteri; Cypriniformes; Cyprinidae.